GACGAACGCUGGCGGCGUGCUUAACACAUGCAAGUCGAACGGAAAGGCCCUGCUUGCAGGGUACUCGAGUGGCGAACGGGUGAGUAACACGUGGGUGAUCUGCCCUGCACUUCGGGAUAAGCUUGGGAAACUGGGUCUAAUACCGGAUAGGAACCAUCUUUAGUGUGGUGGUUGGAAAGUUUUUUCGGUGUAGGAUGAGCUCGCGGCCUAUCAGCUUGUUGGUGGGGUAAUGGCCUACCAAGGCGGCGACGGGUAGCCGGCCUGAGAGGGUGUACGGCCACAUUGGGACUGAGAUACGGCCCAGACUCCUACGGGAGGCAGCAGUGGGGAAUAUUGAACAAUGGGCGCAAGCCUGAUGCAGCGACGCCGCGUGGGGGAUGAAGGCCUUCGGGUUGUAAACUCAUUUCGCUAGGGACGAAGCUUUUUGUGACGGUACCUAGAUAAGAAGCACCGGCUAACUACGUG
This 465-nucleotide ribosomal RNA is filed under the name uncultured bacterium. Its description in RNAcentral is "partial 16S ribosomal RNA". It matches the Rfam family "Bacterial small subunit ribosomal RNA", at positions 28 to 507 of the family's 1533-position model. The record is from RNAcentral.